CAGUCGCCGCGGUAAUACGGAGGGGGCUAGCGUUGUUCGGAUUUACUGGGCGUAAAGGGCGCGUAGGCGGACUGAUAAGUCAGGGGUGAAAUCCCAAGGCUCAACCUUGGAACUGCCUUUGAUACUGUUUGUCUUGAGUUCGAGAGAGGUAGGUGGAACUGCGAGUGUAGAGGUGAAAUUCGUAGAUAUUCGCAAGAACACAGUGGCGAAGGCGGCUUACUGGCUCGAAACUGACGCUGAGGCGCGAAAGCGUGGGGAGCAAACAGGAUUAGAUACCCGAGUAGUCCCUGUCUCUUAUACA
This 301-nucleotide ribosomal RNA is filed under the name uncultured bacterium. RNAcentral describes it as "partial 16S ribosomal RNA". It matches the Rfam family "Bacterial small subunit ribosomal RNA", at positions 509 to 808 of the family's 1533-position model. The record is from RNAcentral.